Molecule: small nucleolar RNA, 90 nt
Filed under: Sclerotinia borealis F-4128
Lineage: Eukaryota; Fungi; Ascomycota; Leotiomycetes; Helotiales; Sclerotiniaceae
Description: A. fumigatus snoRNA Afu_455
Rfam family: A. fumigatus snoRNA Afu_455
Source: Rfam by way of RNAcentral
GGGGGUGAUGAUAUAAACACAUUGGAAAGGCAUUCCUCAAUCCGAAUUAUACUGUCGAAUCUUUGCAUUAAGUUUCAGCCUUGUCUGACC